RNAcentral lists this ribosomal RNA (279 nucleotides) under uncultured bacterium. RNAcentral's name for it is "partial 16S ribosomal RNA". It matches the Rfam family "Bacterial small subunit ribosomal RNA", at positions 506 to 784 of the family's 1533-position model. The record is from RNAcentral.
UGCCAGCCGCCGCGGUAAUACGGAGGGUGCAAGCGUUAAUCGGAAUUACUGGGCGUAAAGCGCACGCAGGCGGUUUGUUAAGUCAGAUGUGAAAGCCCCGGGCUCAACCUGGGAACUGCAUUUGAUACUGGCAAACUAGAGUAUGAGAGAGAGAAGUGGAAUUCCACAUGUAGCGGUGAAAUGCGUAGAGAUGUGGAGGAACAUCAGUGGCGAAGGCGACUUCUUGGCUCAAUACUGACGCUCAGGUGCGAAAGCGUGGGGAGCAAACAGGAUUAGAUA